GAUGGCAAUACAGAUUAGAUGCUUAAAUGCCCUGUGCUAAAAUCAGGCAACAUCAGAUAAGAGAACACUGGAGAUGUAGUUUGUGGUGGAAGAUUUAGAGAAAGAAGAUCAUGGAUAUUCAGGUCCAUCAGAGAAUUGAGGACACAGAACAUACCACCACCUGGAAAACUAGAGAGGGAGGACAAUAUAAGAAUCACAACUUACCAGGAGCUG
This 213-nucleotide long non-coding RNA is filed under the name Homo sapiens (human). RNAcentral's name for it is "HSALNT0011213". Lineage: Eukaryota; Metazoa; Chordata; Mammalia; Primates; Hominidae. The record is from RNAcentral.